Molecule: ribosomal RNA, 789 nt
Filed under: uncultured Actinobacillus sp.
Lineage: Bacteria; Pseudomonadati; Pseudomonadota; Gammaproteobacteria; Pasteurellales; Pasteurellaceae
Description: bacterial SSU rRNA
Rfam family: Bacterial small subunit ribosomal RNA
Source: RNAcentral
CGGACGGGUGAGUAAUGCUUGGGAAUCUGGCUUAUGGAGGGGGAUAACUACGGGAAACUGUAGCUAAUACCGCGUAAUAUCUUCGGAUUAAAGGGUGGGACUUUCGGGCCACCUGCCAUAAGAUGAGCCCAAGUGGGAUUAGGUAGUUGGUGGGGUAAAGGCCUACCAAGCCGACGAUCUCUAGCUGGUCUGAGAGGAUGACCAGCCACACUGGAACUGAGACACGGUCCAGACUCCUACGGGAGGCAGCAGUGGGGAAUAUUGCACAAUGGGGGGAACCCUGAUGCAGCCAUGCCGCGUGAAUGAAGAAGGCCUUCGGGUUGUAAAGUUCUUUCGGUGAUGAGGAAGGUGUUUGUUUUAAUAGAACAAGCAAUUGACGUUAGUCACAGAAGAAGCACCGGCUAACUCCGUGCCAGCAGCCGCGGUAAUACGGAGGGUGCGAGCGUUAAUCGGAAUGACUGGGCGUAAAGGGCACGCAGGCGGUGACUUAAGUGAGAUGUGAAAGCCCCGGGCUUAACCUGGGAAUUGCAUUUCAUACUGGGUCGCUAGAGUAUUUUAGGGAGGGGUAGAAUUCCACGUGUAGCGGUGAAAUGCGUAGAGAUGUGGAGGAAUACCGAAGGCGAAGGCAGCCCCUUGGGAAUAUACUGACGCUCAUGUGCGAAAGCGUGGGGAGCAAACAGGAUUAGAUACCCUGGUAGUCCACGCUGUAAACGCUGUCGAUUUGGGGAUUGGGCUUUAAGCUUGGUGCCCGUAGCUAACGUGAUAAAUCGACCGCCUGGGGAGUACGGC